This 84-nucleotide transfer RNA is filed under the name Caudoviricetes sp. RNAcentral's name for it is "tRNA-OTHER". It matches the Rfam family "tRNA". From Rfam's summary of the family: Transfer RNA (tRNA) molecules are approximately 80 nucleotides in length. Their secondary structure includes four short double-helical elements and three loops (D, anti-codon, and T loops). The record is from RNAcentral. Lineage: Duplodnaviria; Heunggongvirae; Uroviricota; Caudoviricetes.
GGCAUUGUAGCUCAAUGGGGAAGAGCGCACGGCGGGGAAACGCCGUCGAUGGUCGUUGCAGGUUCGAGUCCUGCCAAUGCCUCA